GAACGAACGCUGGCGGCAGGCUUAACACAUGCAAGUCGAACGGUUGUAGCAAUACAGCAGUGGCAGACGGGUGAGUAACACGUGGGAACCUUCCUAGGGGUACGGAACAACUCAGGGAAACUUGAGCUAAUACCGUAUACGUCCGUGAGGAGAAAGAUUUAUCGCCCUUAGACGGGCCCGCGUCGGAUUAGCUAGUUGGUGGGGUAACGGCCUACCAAGGCGACGAUCCGUAGCUGAUCUUAGAGGAUGAUCAGCCACACUGGGACUGAGACACGGCCCAGACUCCUACGGGAGGCAGCAGUGGGGAAUCUUGGACGAUGGGCGCAAGCCUGAUCCAGCCAUGCCGCGUGAGUGAAGAAGGUCUUCGGAUUGUAAAGCUCUUUUGCCAGGGACGAUAAUGACGGUACCUGGAGAAUAAGCCCCGGCAAACUUCGUG
This 436-nucleotide ribosomal RNA is filed under the name uncultured bacterium. RNAcentral describes it as "bacterial SSU rRNA". It matches the Rfam family "Bacterial small subunit ribosomal RNA", at positions 27 to 507 of the family's 1533-position model. The record is from RNAcentral.